Molecule: long non-coding RNA, 678 nt
Organism: Capra hircus (goat)
Lineage: Eukaryota; Metazoa; Chordata; Mammalia; Artiodactyla; Bovidae
Exons: 3
Source: RefSeq, a predicted model, not a curated record
UCACCCCUGCUGUUAAUGCUUCUGGAUCUUCACUUACACCGUUGUUUCUGCCUGAGUGUUUGUCUCACUUUCUUCCAUGAGGUCUCUUGACUUCGUGGCUCAAAGGUGUUCUAUUUGGAGUAUUCAGAGUUUCAGACAUCCACACUCACAGGAGAAUGCGCCUGCUGACGUCUUUCAUCAUCCUGUCCCUCUCCAGACAUAGAUUCUCAGUGUAGCAGCAGUGACCCUGCUGAUAGUAAUUUACAGACUUUUCUGUAGUUAGGAUUCUGCCUGUGACCUAGACAUGCCUUCUGAGACCUGGAUGAAAAAAUGCAGGUAGUGGAUGAGGGUCGAAGGCAGAGCUGGAUGGAGGAAAUCUGAGGACUCUCUUUUCCUCCACCUCACCUCAUGUUCUUGAAUCUCUUGCUCUGAGAAAAGCCAACUGCCAUGCUGUGAGCUACAUUCUAGAGUGACCCACGUGCCACGGAACUGAAGCUUCCAGCCAGUAGCCAGUGAGGAGCUGAGAUCUAUCAACAAUCAUGAGAAUGAACCUGGGGGCAAAAUCUUCAGCCUCAGCCAGUCCUAAUGGUCACAGUAGCCUGGGCUUUCAGUGUAACUAGCAUUUUGUGAGAGACCCUAAGUUGCUUUAAGAUUCCUGACAGCCUGAAAGUCUGAGAUAAUAAAUGUUAAUUUUUUAAU